Molecule: ribosomal RNA, 468 nt
Filed under: uncultured bacterium
Lineage: Bacteria
Description: partial 16S ribosomal RNA
Rfam family: Bacterial small subunit ribosomal RNA
Source: RNAcentral
GACGAACGCUGGCGGCGUGCUUAACACAUGCAAGUCGAACGGAAAGGCCCUGCUUUUGUGGGGUGCUCGAGUGGCGAACGGGUGAGUAACACGUGAGUAACCUGCCCUUGACUUUGGGAUAACUUCAGGAAACUGGGGCUAAUACCGGCUAGGAGCUCCUGCUGCAUGGUGGGGGUUGGAAAGUUUCGGCGGUUGGGUAUGGACUCGCGGCUUAUCAGCUUGUUGGUGGGGUAGUGGCUUACCAAGGCUUUGACGGGUAGCCGGCCUGAGAGGGUGACCGGCCACAGUGGGACUGAGGUACGGCCCAGACUCCUACGGGAGGCAGCAGUGGGGAAUAUUGCACAAUGGGCGGAGGCCGGAUGCAGCAACGCCGCGUGCGGGAUGACGGCCUUCGGGUUGUAAACCGCUUUCGCCUGUGACGAAGCGUGAGUGACGGUAAUGUGUAAAGAAGCACCGGCUAACUACGUG